Molecule: ribosomal RNA, 683 nt
Filed under: uncultured bacterium
Lineage: Bacteria
Description: bacterial SSU rRNA
Rfam family: Bacterial small subunit ribosomal RNA
Source: RNAcentral
UNUGGGCUGUAACUGACGCUGAGAAGCGAAAGCAUGGGGAGCGAACAGGAUUAGAUACCCUGGUAGUCCAUGCCGUAAACGUUGGGCACUAGGUGUGGGGGACAUUCCACGUUUUCCGCGCCGUGGCUAACGCAUUAAGUGCCCCGCCUGGGGAGUACGGCCGCAAGGCUAAAACUCAAAGAAAUUGACGGGGGCCCGCACAAGCGGCGGAGCAUGCGGAUUAAUUCGAUGCAACGCGAAGAACCUUACCAAGGCUUGACAUAUACUGGACUGCGUCAGAGAUGGCGUUUCCCUUCGGGGCUGGUAUACAGGUGGUGCAUGGUUGUCGUCAGCUCGUGUCGUGAGAUGUUGGGUUAAGUCCCGCAACGAGCGCAACCCUCGUUCUAUGUUGCCAGCACGUGAUGGUGGGGACUCAUAGGAGACUGCCGGGGUCAACUCGGAGGAAGGUGGGGAUGACGUCAAAUCAUCAUGCCCCUUAUGUCUUGGGCUUCACGCAUGCUACAAUGGCCGGUACAGAGGGUUGCGAUACUGUGAGGUGGAGCUAAUCCCUAAAAGCCGGUCUCAGUUCGGAUUGGGGUCUGCAACUCGACCCCAUGAAGUCGGGGUCGCUAGUAAUCGCAGAUCAGCAACGCUGCGGUGAAUACGUUCCCGGGCCUUGUACACACCGCCCGUCAAGUCACGAA